AAUAACGUCGAGAAAUCGGCGCUAAUACCUCAUAAUGCAGCGGAUCCGCAUGGAUAUGUUGUUAAGGUUUACCGCCUUGGGAUAGGCUUGCGUCUGAUUAGCUAGUGGUGUGGUAACGGCACACCAAGGCUACGAUCAGUAACUGGUCUGAGAGGAUGAUCAGUCACACUGGAACUGAGACACGGUCCAGACUCCUACGGGAGGCAGCAGUGAGGAAUAUUGGGCAAUGCUCGAAAGAGUGACCCAGCAACGCCGCGUGGAGGAUGAAGGUAUUCUAUAUCGUAAACUCCUGUGAGAGCAGACGAAAGACAGAUUAUUAAUCUGGAUGACUGUAUGCUCAGAGGAAGCCCCGGCUAACUACGUG
Molecule: ribosomal RNA, 364 nt
Filed under: uncultured bacterium
Lineage: Bacteria
Description: bacterial SSU rRNA
Rfam family: Bacterial small subunit ribosomal RNA
Source: RNAcentral